Molecule: long non-coding RNA, 464 nt
Organism: Poecilia latipinna (sailfin molly)
Lineage: Eukaryota; Metazoa; Chordata; Actinopteri; Cyprinodontiformes; Poeciliidae
Exons: 3
Source: RefSeq, a predicted model, not a curated record
CUACCUGCUCAGCCUUCCUUUGUGCACUCAGAUAAUUCUCUAAACAGGUGCAGACGGUGCACUUGGUGUGCAUCGUGGGGACACGCUGGUAUGAGACAGGGGCCUUGAUUUUAUUAUUUGCUGCAUUUGUGCAAUCUUACACUAUGUUUGUAAGCGGCUAUUUUCAGCAAUUAUGCAAUGAAGACAGCGACUGCUGUUGUGGUUUAAAAUGCUGCUCCAAUGGCUGUGGGUAUGAGUGCAUGACACCAGUCAUAGUGAAGCCAGGUUACUGUGGACAGCUCAUGAGUGGGGGAAUUUCUACAAAGGUGAUGGUUAUUCUUCAGGUGACCAAAAGUGCUGCCCUUCCUACUGUGGUAAUUUCUGCAAAGACCUCAUCUAAUCAGACAGUAGUCCAUGGAUAUGCAUUAAAUAUCCUUGACUGCAAUUGUUUGCAUUCAGUAAUGAAAUAAACAACUGGAAGCUUG